UACGUAGGGUCCAAGCGUUGUCCGGAUUUAUUGGGCGUAAAGAGCUCGUAGGCGGCUCAGUAAGUCGGAUGUGAAAACUCGGGGCUCAACCCCGAGACGCCAUCCGAUACUGCUGUGGCUUGAGUCUGGUAGGGGAACACGGAAUUCCUGGUGUAGCGGUGAAAUGCGCAGAUAUCAGGAGGAACACCGAUGGCGAAGGCAGGUCUCUGGGCCACUACUGACGCUGAGAAGCGAAAGCAUGGGGAGCGAACAGG
RNAcentral lists this ribosomal RNA (254 nucleotides) under uncultured bacterium. RNAcentral describes it as "partial 16S ribosomal RNA". It matches the Rfam family "Bacterial small subunit ribosomal RNA", at positions 524 to 776 of the family's 1533-position model. The record is from RNAcentral.